UUGAGACUUAUUGGUCUAUUAGACCAUUAGUGCAUUUAAACAUGAGUCAAAUUACUUAUUUAAAUAUGUUGAUAUGGAAUAGAUCUUAAAAUUUAUUCAAAGCUAAAAUAUCAAAAGAAGCACUUCAUAUAUAUAUAAACAAUUCAAAAUCAAUACCUUCAAUAUAUAUUUGUCCAUUGCAUUCCAAUGAACCACAGUAGCAAAUUUUACUCAAA
RNAcentral lists this long non-coding RNA (215 nucleotides) under Medicago truncatula (barrel medic). RNAcentral's name for it is "lncRNA gene2534". Lineage: Eukaryota; Viridiplantae; Streptophyta; Magnoliopsida; Fabales; Fabaceae. The record is from RNAcentral.